UCCAACAUGAUGGACCCAAGUUAGUCUGCCCAGCCUCAUCCAGCAUCCUUCAGGCCCAGAGAGAACCCCAGGGGCUCUGAAAGCUUGACCUGCCGCCUGUCAGCAAUGGAGACGAAGCUGCCCCCUGCGAGCACCCCCACAAGCCCCUCCUCCCCAGGGCUGUCGCCUGUGCCCCCGCCGGACAAGGUGAAUGGCUUCUCCCGCGGGUUCCUCCGCAGGGCCUGUCCCCGGCGCUCUCACAGCUCUUCUCUGUUCCGCUAUCAGAGUAACCAGUAAGAACAUAAGCCACUGCCCCUGCUCAAAGAUGUCCCAGCCUCUGAGGUACAUGAGCUGCUGAGCCAGAAGCUGGCCCAAUGUGGGGUGAUGUUUGACUUCUUGGACUGUGUAGCUGACCUAAAGGGGAAGGAGGUGAAGCGGGCAGCACUCAGUGAGCUGGUGGAGUGUGUGGGGAGUACCCGGGGUGUCCUCAUUGAGCCUGUCUACCCAGACAUCAUCCGCAUGAUCUCAGUGAAUGUCUUCCGGACUCUGCCACCCAGCGAGAACCCUGAAUUUGACCCUGAAGAGGAUGAGCCCAACCUCGAACCUUCAUGUCCACAUCUGCAGCUCAUAUAUGAGUUUUUUUCUGCGUUUCUUGGAGAGCCCAGACUUCCAGCCCUCCGUGGCCAAGAGAUAUGUGGAUCAAAAGUUUGUCCUGAUGCUUCUGGAGCUGUUUGAUAGUGAGGACCCCAGGGAGCUUGAGUACCUCAAGACUAUCCUGCACCCGGUCUAUGGCAAGUUCCUGGGUCUCCGGGCCUAUAUCCGCAAACAGUGCAAUCACAUCUUCCUCCGGUUCAUCUAUGAAUUCGAGCAGUUCAAUGGCGUGGCUGAGUUGCUGGAGAUCUUAGGAAGCAUCAUCAAUGGCUUUGCACUGCCCUUGAAGACUGAGCACAAGCAGUUCCUGGUUCGCGUCCUGAUUCCCCUGCAUUCCGUCAGGUCGCUGUCUGUCUUUCACGCCCAGCUGGCAUACUGUGUAGUGCAGUUCCUGGAGAAGGAUGCCACCUUGACAGAGCAUGUGAUCCGGGGGCUGCUCAAGUACUGGCCAAAAACCUGCACCCAGAAGGAGGUGAUGUUUCUGGGAGAGAUGGAAGAGAUUCUUGAUGUCAUCGAGCCUUCCCAGUUUGUGAAGAUCCAGGAGCCUCUCUUUAAGCAGGUGGCUCGCUGUGUUUCCAGUCCCCAUUUCCAGGUUGCAGAGCGGGCUCCGUAUUUCUGGAACAAUGAGUAUAUCCUGAGCCUCAUUGAGGACAACUGCCACACUGUGCUGCCUGCUGUGUUUGGGACCCUCUAUCAAGUCUCCAAGGAGCACUGGAAUCAAACCAUCGUAUCUCUGAUCUACAAUGUGCUCAAGACGUUCAUGGAGAUGAAUGGAAAGCUGUUUGAUGAACUCACAGCCUCCUACAAGCUGGAAAAGCAGCAGGAGCAGCAGAAGGCCCGGGAGCGCCAGGAGCUGUGGCAAGGUCUGGAGGAGCUGCGGCUACGCUGGCUACAGGGAACUCAGGGGGCCAGGGAGGCCCCCAUCCAGUGGCUUACACCCCAGGUGGCCACCAGUGGGGGUCAGAGCUAGAAAGCCACCUGGAAAGGGAGAAGCUAAACCCAGAGCCACCAGUCCCUCCAUCCCUUCACCUGCCCAGGGGCCCAGAGAGACACACACUUCCUGCAGGCCUUACCAGAGUGGAUUCUGAGGACUCCCCGCCCAGCCUAGCUUUCACUGGGGGGAGACAAGGAAAGAAGAUGGUGGUCUUGGCAACAGAACUCUCAGGGCUUUGUGGCAGGACUUGAUCAGGGCAAGCUUGACCAGAAAGCUGCCAUCAGGGAUCUUUCCCUACCCUGCAAAGCUGGACUCCAGGCUGCAGGCAGGCUCCUAGCCCCUGCUCCCAGCCUAGGGCAAGGACACUCAGUGCUUCACCUGCCCUUGCCUCGGGCCCGCUCGAGGUCCUUCCUUAUCCCCACCAUGGAGUCCAUGGUCUAUUUAUUCUCGCCCAGCUCACCCUCAACACAGAUAUUGUCCUGGGCCUGGGGCAUUCU
RNA transcript from Nycticebus coucang (slow loris), 2061 nucleotides. It is a transcript of the gene named serine/threonine-protein phosphatase 2A 56 kDa regulatory subunit beta isoform-like, with no coding region annotated. Lineage: Eukaryota; Metazoa; Chordata; Mammalia; Primates; Lorisidae. The record is from RefSeq and is a predicted model, not a curated record. The transcript has a single exon.